RNAcentral lists this ribosomal RNA (434 nucleotides) under Salmonella enterica subsp. enterica serovar Infantis. Its description in RNAcentral is "bacterial SSU rRNA". It matches the Rfam family "Bacterial small subunit ribosomal RNA", at positions 1 to 431 of the family's 1533-position model. The record is from RNAcentral. RNAcentral also lists the same sequence under 1 other name. Lineage: Bacteria; Pseudomonadati; Pseudomonadota; Gammaproteobacteria; Enterobacterales; Enterobacteriaceae.
AAAUUGAAGAGUUUGAUCAUGGCUCAGAUUGAACGCUGGCGGCAGGCCUAACACAUGCAAGUCGAACGGUAACAGGAAGCAGCUUGCUGCUUCGCUGACGAGUGGCGGACGGGUGAGUAAUGUCUGGGAAACUGCCUGAUGGAGGGGGAUAACUACUGGAAACGGUGGCUAAUACCGCAUAACGUCGCAAGACCAAAGAGGGGGACCUUCGGGCCUCUUGCCAUCAGAUGUGCCCAGAUGGGAUUAGCUUGUUGGUGAGGUAACGGCUCACCAAGGCGACGAUCCCUAGCUGGUCUGAGAGGAUGACCAGCCACACUGGAACUGAGACACGGUCCAGACUCCUACGGGAGGCAGCAGUGGGGAAUAUUGCACAAUGGGCGCAAGCCUGAUGCAGCCAUGCCGCGUGUAUGAAGAAGGCCUUCGGGUUGUAAAGU